GCGGCGACGAUGAGCACCACGACGAGCACCACGACGAGCACGAGCAUCCCACUUGAUGAUGUCUUACUUUCCUCUUUAGAGAGAUGGAAAGCUUCAAGUGAGUGCUCUUCAAGCCUCGAUAAAUGGCAAAUAAUGAGGUGGAAUCGAACGCACUUCGUGGAGUAGAAUGGGAAGUUGUUUCACCUACAACAUCGGCUGCUGCUGCUGCUCCUAGUACACAUGCUAAAGAC
Long non-coding RNA from Impatiens glandulifera, 230 nucleotides. RefSeq lists it as uncharacterized. The record is from RefSeq and is a predicted model, not a curated record. The transcript is spliced from 3 exons. Lineage: Eukaryota; Viridiplantae; Streptophyta; Magnoliopsida; Ericales; Balsaminaceae.